CCCUGGGUCCCUCCUCUGCACAUGUCCAAACCAUUUCAAUCUCACCUCUGUCUCCAAACCGUCCCAUCUGAGCUGUCCCCUUGAUAUAGUCAUUCCUAAUCCUGCCCAUUCUCCUCACUCCCAAAGAGAAUCGCAGCAUCUUCAGCUCUGCCUCCUCCAGCUCUGCCUCC
Long non-coding RNA from Thalassophryne amazonica, 170 nucleotides. RefSeq lists it as uncharacterized. The record is from RefSeq and is a predicted model, not a curated record. NCBI's taxonomy places the organism in Eukaryota, Metazoa, Chordata, Actinopteri, Batrachoidiformes, Batrachoididae. The transcript has 3 exons.